Molecule: unclassified non-coding RNA, 234 nt
Filed under: uncultured Suillaceae
Lineage: Eukaryota; Fungi; Basidiomycota; Agaricomycetes; Boletales; Suillaceae
Also listed under: 2 other names
Description: sequence contains ITS2
Source: RNAcentral
AAUUCUCAACCCCUCUCGAUUUGCUUCGAGAGGGCGUUUGGAUGGUGGGGGCUGCCGGAGACUUGGAUUCGUCCAGGACUCGGGCUCUCCUGAAAUGCAUCGGCUUGCGGUCGACUUUCGACUUUGCAUGACAAGGCCUUCGGCGUGAUAAUGAUCGCCGUUAGCUGAAGUGCAUGAAUGAAGGUCCCGUGCCUCUAACGCGUCGACGCUUUUAUUAGCGUCUUCCUUAUUGAC